This 456-nucleotide long non-coding RNA is filed under the name Callithrix jacchus (white-tufted-ear marmoset). RNAcentral's name for it is "lncRNA (ENSCJAG00000077883.1)". The record is from RNAcentral. Lineage: Eukaryota; Metazoa; Chordata; Mammalia; Primates; Cebidae.
CCACUCCCCCAGGCUGAAUUAUGGCAAUUCCCUGCUGUGUAGCCUUGUCUUUGGGAGUGGAAGUGAGUGACAGUCACGUUUGACACCGGCCUGGUCGGAACCGCACCUAGCGGCUGUGCCGGAGCAAGGGUGGCGAACUCCGCCCCAGGGAGCAGCUGGGGAUCCCGGCCAUCCGCAUGGGCCUGAGGCUCGCGAGGAGAUGGGGAUCUCGCCGUGUUGCUCAGACUGGUGUCAAAUUCCUGGACUCAAGCCAUCCUUCCACCUCGGCCUCCCAAACUGUUGGGAUUACAGGACAUAGUGGUUGCUUCCAAUGCUUGGAGGGUCUGAAUAGAGCAUCUAUAAACGUUCAUAUGCAAGUUUUUGUGUGGGCAUCAGUUUCCGAAUCAAGUAAAUAACUAGAAGCACAACUGCUGUGAUUACCCGAAUCAGGUAAAUAACUAGAAGCACAACAUGAUA